RNAcentral lists this ribosomal RNA (1123 nucleotides) under Aurantiochytrium sp. MBTDCMFRIJMVL4. RNAcentral describes it as "bacterial SSU rRNA". It matches the Rfam family "Eukaryotic small subunit ribosomal RNA". The record is from RNAcentral. Lineage: Eukaryota; Bigyra; Thraustochytrida; Thraustochytriidae.
UUGGUUGAUCCUGCCAGUAGUCAUAUGCUCGUCUCAAAGAUUAAGCCAUGCAUGCGUAAGUAUAAGCGAUUGUACUGUGAGACUGCGAACGGCUCAUUAUAUCAGUAAUAAUUUCUUCGGUAAGCAUGUUCUUCAUUAAUCAAGGAUACCUGCAGUAAGUCUGGAAAUAGAUACAUGAUGUAAGAGACCAUCGUAUGGGGCUAGCACCGUAUUAGACUGAAGCCGACUUGCGAUUAUUGGGUGAAUCAUGAUAAUGGGCCUCAGCAGCAUUGCACAUUUGAGAAAUCGAUGAAGUCGUUUGAGGUUCUGCCCCAUCAGUUGUCGACGGGAGUGUAUUGGACGCAAGGCUGAAACUAUAAAGGAAUUGACGGAGAGUUAGGGCACCACUCAGGAGAGGGAGCCUGAGAGACGGCUUACCAUAUCCAAGGACUAGCAACAGGCGCGAAAACUUACCCACUGUGGACUCCAGACAUAGGUAGGAUUGACGAGAAAUAUCGAUGCGAAGCGUCUAUGCAUGAUUGCUAUCGGAAGUGAGAGCAAUGUAAAACCCUCAUCGUAGGAUCAACUGGAGGGCAAUUGUCUGGUGCCAGCAGCCGCGGUAAUUCGAACGAGACCUCCAGAAGCAUAUGCUAAAGUAGUUGCAGUGGUAUGGCAACAUAGCUACGUAGUUGAAUUUCUGAGCAUGGGACAUGACCGGUGCUUACCGGCAGGAAGUUCGAGGCAAUAACAGGUCUGUGAUGCCCUUAGCCAUCUUCUGGGCCGCACGCGCGCUACACUGAUCGGUUCAUCGAGAUCUUUAACUCUAAUUUUUGGAAUUGAGUGCUUGGUCGGAAGGCCUGGCUAAUCCUUGGAACGCUCAUCGUGCUGGGGCUAGAUUUUUGCAAUUAUUAAUCUCCAACGAGGAAUUCCUAGUAAACGCAAGUCAUCAGCUUGCAUUGAAUACGUCCCUGCCCUUUGUACACACCGCCCGUCGCACCUACCGAUUGAACGGUCCGAUGAAACCAUGGGAUGCUUCUGUUUGGAUUCAUUUUUGGACAGAGGCAGAACUCGGGUGAAUCUUAUUGUUUAGAGGAAGGUGAAGUCGUAACAAGGUUUCCGCAGGUGAACCUGCGGAAGGAUCAUA